CGGUGGAGCAUGUGGUUUAAUUCGAAGCAACGCGAAGAACCUUACCAGGUCUUGACAUCCCGAUGCUAUUUCUAGAGAUAGAAAGUUACUUCGGUACAUCGGUGACAGGUGGUGCAUGGUUGUCGUCAGCUCGUGUCGUGAGAUGUUGGGUUAAGUCCCGCAACGAGCGCAACCCCUAUUGUUAGUUGCCAUCAUUCAGUUUAGGGCACUCUAGCGAGACUGCCGGUAAUAAACCGGAGGAAGUGGGGAUGACGUCAAAUCAUCAUGCCCCUUAUGACCUGGGCUACACACGUGCUACAAUGGUUGGUACAACGAGUUGCGAGUCGGUGACGGCGAGCUAAUCUCUUAAAGCCAAUCUCAGUUCGGAUUGUAGGCUGCAACUCGCCUACAUGAAGUCGGAAUCGCUAGUAAUCGCGGAUCAGCACGCCGCGGUGAAUACGUUCCCGGGCCUU
This 452-nucleotide ribosomal RNA is filed under the name uncultured Streptococcus sp. Its description in RNAcentral is "bacterial SSU rRNA". It matches the Rfam family "Bacterial small subunit ribosomal RNA", at positions 930 to 1382 of the family's 1533-position model. The record is from RNAcentral. Lineage: Bacteria; Bacillati; Bacillota; Bacilli; Lactobacillales; Streptococcaceae.